RNAcentral lists this small RNA (537 nucleotides) under Pongo abelii (Sumatran orangutan). RNAcentral's name for it is "processed transcript". The record is from RNAcentral. Lineage: Eukaryota; Metazoa; Chordata; Mammalia; Primates; Hominidae.
UGGCGACGUUGCAACAUAAGAAUUGCAGAGAGGUGUAAUCCCAGUAGAAGACUGAAUCGAGAGACUCAAAAAGGAAGUUAUGGCUUCUCAGAAUGCUGUUUUUUCUCAGGAGGGGAACAUGGAGGAGAAAGAAAUGAAUGAUGGCUCACAGAUGGUGAGAUCUCAGGAAUCACUGACGUUUCAGGAUGUGGCCGUGGACUUCACCAGAGAGGAGUGGGACCAGCUGUACCCUGCCCAGAAGAACCUCUAUCGAGACGUGAUGCUGGAGAACUACAGGAAUCUAGUUGCACUGGGGUAUCAGCUUUACAAGCCAGAGGUAAUCGCGCAGUUGGAGCUAGAGGAAGAAUGGGUGAUAGAAAGAGACAGCCUGCUGGACACUCAUCUGGCCUAAUUUCUAAUUCUCUUGCUCUCCUUUGUGAUAUGACCCCGAUUCCUACCUCUACUACUAAUAUUUUUUUCUUGGAGAUUACCACUAAUUUCCUUCCAGUUAAAUCCAGUGGCUACAAAGCCAGUUAGGAUUGUGUUGACUUUCCCUUC